Molecule: ribosomal RNA, 2226 nt
Filed under: human gut metagenome
Description: bacterial LSU rRNA
Rfam family: Bacterial large subunit ribosomal RNA
Source: RNAcentral
UGUCCUGGACCCGAAGCGGGAUGAUCUAGCCCUGGGCAGGUUGAAGCGCGGGUAAGACCGCGUGGAGGACCGAACCCACCUGGGUUGAAAACCGGGGGGAUGACCUGGGGCUAGGGGUGAAAGGCCAAUCAAAUUCCGUGAUAGCUGGUUCUCUCCGAAAUGCAUUUAGGUGCAGCGUCGGUCGAUUGCGUCGCGGGGGUAGAGCUACCGGAUGCUUGCGGGCCCUUGUUGGGUACCAACAGCAGCCGAACUCCGAAUACCGUUGACGUGUAUUCCGGCAGUGAGUCGGCGGGGGAUAAGCUCCGUCGUCGAGAGGGAGACAGCCCAGACCGUCGUCUAAGGUCCCGAAGCGUGUGCUAAGUGGGAAAGGAUGUGGAGUCGCAUAGACAGCCAGGAGGUUGGCUCAGAAGCAGCCAUCCUUGAAAGAGUGCGUAACAGCUCACUGGUCUAGUGGUUCCGCGCCGACAAUGUAGCGGGGCUCAAGCACACCACCGAAGACGCGGCAGCAAUCUUCAUGGUUGCUGGGUAGGAGAGCGUCCUGCGAGGGGCGAAGCGGCCGGGUAACCGUGCCGUGGACUUCGUGGGAGUGAGAAUGCAGACAUGAGUAGCGAGAGACGGGUGAGGAUCCCGUCCGCUGGAUGACCAAGGGUUCCGGGGCCACGUUCGUCGUCCCCGGGUGAGUCGGGUCCUAAGGCGAGGCCGACAGGCGUAGUCGAAUGGAUGAACGGGUGGAUAUUCCCGUACCGACCAUGGACCGGCAAAACCGAGACGGUGAGUACUAACCUCCGCCUCGUGGUGGUUCCUUCCUUCGGGUUGGUUCCGCCGCGUGGUGUUGGGAGCGUAGCCGUAGUAGGUCAGCGCAGGGGUGACACGGAAUGGGAGCCGGCCGCGGAGGUGGUUUUCCGUGGUCAAGCACGCAGCCAGUCAUGUAGGCAAAUCCGCAUGGCGCGCAUGGCGAGGUGUGAUGAUGGGAGCCUUUUGGGCUCGAUAUCCGGUUGUCCAGGCCGUCGAGAAAAGCCUCGGCGUGAGGGCCAUGGCCGCCCGUACCCCAAACCGACACUGGUGGUCAGGUAGAGAAUACCAAGGCGAUCGAGCGAAUCCUGGUCAAGGAACUCGGCAAAUCACUCCCGUGCCUUCGGUAUAAGGGAGACCCCUGAUGGUGAUGGAACUUGCUUCCGGAGCUUUCGGGGGUGGCACAGACCAGGGGGUAGCGACUGUUUACCAAAAACACAGGUGCAUGCGAAGGCGCAAGCCGCUGUAUAUGCACUGACGCCUGCCCGGUGCCGGAAGGUUAAGAGGAUCCGUCAGCCCUCGGGUGAAGCGGUGAAUUCAAGCCCCGGUAAACGGCGGUGGUAACUAUAACCAUCCUAAGGUAGCGAAAUUCCUUGUCGGGUAAGUUCCGACCUGCACGAAUGGCGUAACGACUUCCCCACUGUCUCGACCAGGAGCUCGGCGAAAUUGCAGUACGAGUAAAGAUGCUCGUUAAGCGCAGAAGGACGAAAAGACCCCGGGACCUUUACUAUACCUUGGUAUUGGCGUUAGGCGCGGAUUGUGUAGCAUAGGCGGGAGGCUUCGAAGCGGUGGCGCCAGCCAUCGUGGAGCCGCAAGGUGAAAUACCGCUCUGUUCUCGUUUGACGUCUCACCUCGAACAGUCAUCCUGUUCAGGGACAGUGCCUGGCGGGUAGUUUAACUGGGGCGGUUGCCUCCCAAAGAGUAACGGAGGCGCUCAAAGGUCCGCUCAGCCCGGUUGGCAAUCGGGUGUCGAGUGUAAUCGCACAAGCGGGCUUGACUGCGAGGACGACGGUCCGAGCAGGGACGAAAGUCGGAGAUAGUGAUCCGGUGCCGGCGCACGGGCGCGGCAUCGCUCAACGGAUAAAAGGUACCCCGGGGAUAACAGGCUGAUCAUUCCCAAGAGUCCAUAUCGACGGGAUGGUUUGGCACCUCGAUGUCGGCUCGUCGCAUCCUGGGGCUGGAGCAGGUCCCAAGGGUUCGGCUGUUCGCCGAUUAAAGCGGCACGCGAGCUGGGUUCAGAACGUCGUGAGACAGUUUGGUCUCUAUCCUCUGCGCUCGUUGGAAUCCUGAGGAGGCCUGCCCAUAGUACGAGAGGACCUGGGUGGACGAACCUCUGGUAUGCCGGUUGUCGCGCCAGCGGCACGGCCGGUUGGCUACGUUCGGGAGGGAUAACCGCUGAAAGCAUCUAAGCGGGAAGCCUGCUCCAAGAUUAGG